Non-coding RNA from Populus trichocarpa (black cottonwood), 135 nucleotides. The record is from Rfam. NCBI's taxonomy places the organism in Eukaryota, Viridiplantae, Streptophyta, Magnoliopsida, Malpighiales, Salicaceae.
UAAUAUGUUUACAGCAGAUCUUCAUCUAAUUAUGACAGACUCACAUUUAAUUGUUUAGAAUCAUCGAUUAUUGUAAAUCUCUACAUCAUUGAUUUUCAUAAAAACAUAUUGAAAAAAAAUUCAUAAAAUUAUGUU